UCUAAACAAAACCCAAAUUCUAAACGACACCCUAAGGGCUGUAUAUAUGGAGGAAGAGGGGGGGGGGGAAUUUCGUGGCCCUUGGGGAAGGGGUCCGAAACCAACCCUAUCUCUUGUUUCCCCACACAUACGGACUCUAAAAACAGCCUAUACUGAAGUAUUUCGAAAAUACAUGGGCCUGGCCCAAUAAUAAGGUGACGCAGCACCUAGAAUAGCCUCUGGACGAAAGUUAUGAAGUGGCAUCUUGUAUAUUUCGUCCAAGGCUUCAUGCACACAUUAUG
This 281-nucleotide ribosomal RNA is filed under the name Triticum aestivum (bread wheat). RNAcentral describes it as "partial small subunit ribosomal RNA". Lineage: Eukaryota; Viridiplantae; Streptophyta; Magnoliopsida; Poales; Poaceae. The record is from RNAcentral.